This 59-nucleotide transfer RNA is filed under the name Franciscoloa pallida. RNAcentral's name for it is "tRNA-Pro". The record is from RNAcentral. Lineage: Eukaryota; Metazoa; Arthropoda; Insecta; Psocodea; Menoponidae.
CAGAAAAUAGUUUAUAUUAUUAAAACAUUAAAUUUGGGGUUUAAAGAAAUAGUUUCUGA